RNAcentral lists this ribosomal RNA (464 nucleotides) under uncultured bacterium. RNAcentral's name for it is "partial 16S ribosomal RNA". It matches the Rfam family "Bacterial small subunit ribosomal RNA", at positions 28 to 507 of the family's 1533-position model. The record is from RNAcentral.
GACGAACGCUGGCGGCGUGCUUAACACAUGCCAGUCGAACGGAAAGGCCCCUUUGGGGGUACUCGAGUGGCGAACGGGUGAGUAACACGUGAGUAACCUGCCCUUGACUUCGGGAUAACUUCAGGAAACUGGGGCUAAUACCGGAUAGGAAUCCUUGCUGCAUGGUGGGGGUUGGAAAGCUUCGGCGGUUUUGGAUGGACUCGCGGCUUAUCAGCUUGUUGGUGGGGUAGUGGCUUACCAAGGCUUUGACGGGUAGCCGGCCUGAGAGGGCGACCGGCCACAUUGGGACUGAGAUACGGCCCAGACUCCUACGGGAGGCAGCAGUGGGGAAUAUUGCACAAUGGGCGGAAGCCUGAUGCAGCAACGCCGCAUGCGGGAUGACGGCCUUCGGGUUGUAAACCGCUUUCAGCAGGGGCGAAGCUUUUGUGACGGUACCUGCAGAAGAAGCACCGGCUAACUACGUG